Molecule: unclassified non-coding RNA, 344 nt
Filed under: soil metagenome
Description: partial contains 5.8S ribosomal RNA, internal transcribed spacer 2, and large subunit ribosomal RNA
Rfam family: 5.8S ribosomal RNA (bases 1-119)
Source: RNAcentral
GAUGAAGAACGUAGCGAAAUGCGAUAAGUAAUGCGAAUUGCAGAAUCCGUGAGUCAUCGAAUCUUUGAACGCACAUUGCGCCCCCUGGUAUUCCGGGGGGCAUGCCUGUCCGAGCGUCAUUGCUGCCCUCAAGCACGGCUUGUGUGUUGGGCCUCCGUCCUCCUCCCGGGGGACGGGCCCGAAAGGCAGCGGCGGCACCGCGUCCGGUCCUCGAGCGUAUGGGGCUUCGUCACCCGCUCUUGUAGGCCCGGCCGGCGCUUGCCGACACAUCAAUCUUUUUUCCAGGUUGACCUCGGAUCAGGUAGGGAUACCCGCUGAACUUAAGCAUAUCAAUAAGCGGAGGA